RNAcentral lists this long non-coding RNA (1382 nucleotides) under Mus musculus (house mouse). RNAcentral's name for it is "long non-coding RNA chr16:36099985-36101367". Lineage: Eukaryota; Metazoa; Chordata; Mammalia; Rodentia; Muridae. The record is from RNAcentral.
UAUCUUAGGGAGGGAAAAAGAAAGAAAAGAAAAGAAAAGAAAGGAAAAGAAAAGAAAAGAAAAGAAAAGAAAAGAAAAGAAGAGAAAAGAAAAGAAAAGCCUGAGAACUUGAUCCUCAGCUGAAGCCAACCAAGCUGCACCCAAGUAUCAGGAAGAAUUCCAGGACUUGUCCUUUGCCCAUACCCCAGAGUUACUCCCUAGCUACUUCCUAGCAACAGUUAAUCAAAGAUUAGUCUGAUUGUUCCAGAUGUACUUUCUGACCAUUUGUGAUUGCUCAUGGUCUUGCUUCAGAGCACCCACCUGUCAGCUUACAAUAGUCAUUCCCUUAGAUGCUUGCCAGGCUGGACACCUUUCACUUGUUCCCAUUUCCUAUAAAACCUUGUCCCAAUGAGAGUUCAGGGCUGCUUCACCAAGGCAGUGAGCAAGCCCAAGCUUAAGUUUGUAAUAGAGAGACCCUAAUGUGAUUGCAUUGGAAUCUGCUCCUGGUUUGUCUUUUGGGCUCAUGAAUAAGGCAAGAAUAUCUACAAGUUGAAUGUAAUAUCUGUCAAAAUUAAAAUAUCAAUCAGACCUGAUGGCAUAUGGUACUUGGACCAUAUGCCAAGACCAGCUGGAUUACAGAGUGACUUCAAAUGCAGUCUGGGCAACCCAAUGAGGCCCCUUCUCAAAGUUAAGAUAAAACAAAACAUGGUUAUGACAACAUUGGCCUGGGGGGUGUGUAUUGUUUAGAUCUGAUCCCCCCAAAACACAGGCAACAGAAGCAGUAUACAAGUGGGAGCACAUGCAAGUAGUCCUACAUAGUGUCAGACAUCUAUGGGUUAAGAAAAAAAUGUCUAGGCUGGGCAUGGUGGCACACGUCUUUAAUCCCAGCACUCGUGAGGCAGAGGCAGGCAGAUUCCUGAGUUCGAGGCCAGUCUGGUCUACAAAGUGAGUUCCAGGACAGCCUGGGCUAUACAGAGAAACCCUGUCUCGAAAUCCCCCUCCCCCCAAAAAAGAAAAAAUGUCUAAACCAAAAAAAAAAAAAAAAUGUCUAUAAGACACACACCUAGGGUUGGAGAGAUGGUUCAGCAGUUAAGAGCACUGACUGCUCUUCCAGAGAUCCUGAGUUCAAUUCCCAGCAACCACAUGGUGGCUCACAACCAUUUGUAAUGGAAUCUGAUGCCCUCUUCUGCUGUGUCUGAAGACAGCUACAGUGUACUCACCUACAUAAAAUAAAAAUAAAUCUUAAAAAAAAAAAAGACACAUGGGGGCUGAAGGGAUAGCUCAGUGGUUGGGAGCACUGACUGCUCUUCCAAAGGUCCUGAAUUCAAAUCCCAGCAACCGCAUGGUGGCUCACAACCAUCUGUAAUGAGAUCUGACACCCUCUUAGGUGCCUGAUUUAUUAC